UACGAAGGGGGCUAGCGUUGCUCGGAAUCACUGGGCGUAAAGCGCACGUAGGCGGAUCUUUAAGUCAGGGGUGAAAUCCCAAGGCUCAACCUUGGAACUGCCUUUGAUACUGGGGAUCUCGAGUCCGGAAGAGGUGAGUGGAACUGCGAGUGUAGAGGUGAAAUUCGUAGAUAUUCGCAAGAACACCAGUGGCGAAGGCGGCUCACUGGUCCGGUACUGACGCUGAGGUGCGAAAGCGUGGGGAGCAAAAAGG
Molecule: ribosomal RNA, 253 nt
Filed under: uncultured bacterium
Lineage: Bacteria
Description: partial 16S ribosomal RNA
Rfam family: Bacterial small subunit ribosomal RNA
Source: RNAcentral